RNAcentral lists this ribosomal RNA (254 nucleotides) under uncultured bacterium. Its description in RNAcentral is "partial 16S ribosomal RNA". It matches the Rfam family "Bacterial small subunit ribosomal RNA", at positions 524 to 776 of the family's 1533-position model. The record is from RNAcentral.
UACGUAGGGUGCGAGCGUUGUCCGGAAUUACUGGGCGUAAAGAGCUCGUAGGUGGUUUGUCGCGUUGUUCGUGAAAACUCACAGCUCAACUGUGGGCGUGCGGGCGAUACGGGCAGACUAGAGUACUGCAGGGGAGACUGGAAUUCCUGGUGUAGCGGUGGAAUGCGCAGAUAUCAGGAGGAACACCGGUGGCGAAGGCGGGUCUCUGGGCAGUAACUGACGCUGGAGGAGCGAAAGCGUGGGGAGCGAACAGG